This 466-nucleotide ribosomal RNA is filed under the name uncultured bacterium. RNAcentral describes it as "partial 16S ribosomal RNA". It matches the Rfam family "Bacterial small subunit ribosomal RNA", at positions 28 to 507 of the family's 1533-position model. The record is from RNAcentral.
GAUGAACGCUGGCGGCGUGCUUAACACAUGCAAGUCGAACGAUGAAGCCCAGCUUGCUGGGUGGAUUAGUGGCGAACGGGUGAGUAACACGUGAGUAACCUGCCCUUAACUCUGGGAUAAGCCUGGGAAACUGGGUCUAUUACCGGAUAGGAGCGUCCACCGCAUGGUGGGUGUUGGAAAGAUUUAUCGGUUUUGGAUGGACUCGCGGCCUAUCAGCUUGUUGGUGAGGUAAUGGCUCACCAAGGCGACGACGGGUAGCCGGCCUGAGAGGGUGACCGGCCACACUGGGACUGAGACACGGCCCAGACUCCUACGGGAGGCAGCAGUGGGGAAUAUUGCACAGUGGGCGCAAGCCUGAUGCAGCGGCGCCGCGUGAGGGAUGACGGCCUUCGGGUUGUAAACCUCUUUCAGUAGGGAAGAAGCGAAAGUGACGGUACCUGCAGAAGAAGCACCGGCUAACUACGUG